This 1344-nucleotide ribosomal RNA is filed under the name uncultured bacterium. RNAcentral describes it as "partial 16S ribosomal RNA". It matches the Rfam family "Bacterial small subunit ribosomal RNA", at positions 42 to 1381 of the family's 1533-position model. The record is from RNAcentral.
GCAAGCUUAACACAUGCAAGUCGAGGGGCAGCGAGUAGAUUGCUUGCAAUCUAUGUCGGCGACCGGCGCACGGGUGCGUAACGCGUAUGCAACCUACCCAUUACAGGGGGAUAACACUGAGAAAUCGGUACUAAUACCCCAUAACAUCCAGGGAGGCAUCUUCUUGGGUUGAAAACUCCGGUGGUAAUGGAUGGGCAUGCGUUGUAUUAGUUAGUUGGUGGGGUAACGGCUCACCAAGACAACGAUACAUAGGGGGACUGAGAGGUUAACCCCCCACAUUGGUACUGAGACACGGACCAAACUCCUACGGGAGGCAGCAGUGAGGAAUAUUGGUCAAUGGACGCAAGUCUGAACCAGCCAUGCCGCGUGCAGGAAGACGGCUCUAUGAGUUGUAAACUGCUUUUGUACGAGGGUAAACGCAGAUACGUGUAUCUGUCUGAAAGUAUCGUACGAAUAAGGAUCGGCUAACUCCGUGCCAGCAGCCGCGGUAAUACGGAGGAUUCAAGCGUUAUCCGGAUUUAUUGGGUUUAAAGGGUGCGUAGGCGGUCGGAUAAGUUAGAGGUGAAAUCCCGAGGCUCAACUUCGGAAUUGCCUCUGAUACUGUUCGGCUAGAGAGUAGUUGCGGUAGGCGGAAUGUAUGGUGUAGCGGUGAAAUGCUUAGAGAUCAUACAGAACACCGAUUGCGAAGGCAGCUUACCAAGCUACUUCUGACGUUGAGGCACGAAAGCGUGGGGAGCAAACAGGAUUAGAUACCCUGGUAGUCCACGCAGUAAACGAUGAUAACUCGUUGUCGGCGAUACAAUGUCGGUGACUAAGCGAAAGCGAUAAGUUAUCCACCUGGGGAGUACGUUCGCAAGAAUGAAACUCAAAGGAAUUGACGGGGGCCCGCACAAGCGGAGGAACACGUGGUUUAAUUCGAUGAUACGCGAGGAACCUUACCCGGGCUUGAAAGUUAGUGACAGAUCUGGAAACAGGUCUUCCCUUCGGGGCACGAAACUAGGUGCUGCAUGGUUGUCGUCAGCUCGUGCCGUGAGGUGUCGGGUUAAGUCCCAUAACGAGCGCAACCCCUACCGUCAGUUGCCAGCAGGUCAAGCUGGGCACUCUGGCGGGACUGCCGGUGUAAGCCGAGAGGAAGGUGGGGAUGACGUCAAAUCAGCACGGCCCUUACGUCCGGGGCUACACACGUGUUACAAUGGCAGGUACAGAGGGCAGCUACCCAGCGAUGGGAUGCGAAUCUCGAAAGCCUGUCUCAGUUCGGAUUGGAGGCUGAAACCCGCCUCCAUGAAGUUGGAUUCGCUAGUAAUCGCGCAUCAGCCAUGGCGCGGUGAAUACGUUCCCGGGCCU